RNAcentral lists this ribosomal RNA (822 nucleotides) under Gyalecta friesii. RNAcentral's name for it is "eukaryotic LSU rRNA". It matches the Rfam family "Eukaryotic large subunit ribosomal RNA", at positions 86 to 924 of the family's 3401-position model. Lineage: Eukaryota; Fungi; Ascomycota; Lecanoromycetes; Ostropales; Gyalectaceae. The record is from RNAcentral.
ACGGCGAGUGAAGCGGCAACAGCUCAAAUUUGAAAUCUGGCUCCCCCCCGGGGUCCGAGUUGUAAUUUGCAGAAGGUGCCUCGGGCGAGACGUCAGUCUAAGUUCCCUGGAACGGGGCGUCACAGAGGGUGAGAAUCCCGUACGCGACCCGGCGUCGACCCCGUGCGAGGCCCUUUCGACGAGUCGAGUUGUUUGGGAAUGCAGCUCAAAAUGGGUGGUAAAUUUCAUCUAAAGCUAAAUACCGGCCAGAGACCGAUAGCGCACAAGUAGAGUGAUCGAAAGAUGAAAAGCACUUUGGAAAGAGAGUUAAACAGUAUGUGAAAUUGUUGAAGGGGAAGCGCUUGCAGCCAGACUCGCGCGCGGGUGAUCAAUCUCCCCCCGGGGCGAUGCACUCUCCCGCGCUCGGGCCAGCAUCGGUUUCGACCGCCGGACGAAGGCCCGGGGAAUGUGACUCCCCCCGGGGAGUGUUAUAGCCCCGGGCGGAAUGCGGCGAGUUGGGACCGAGGAUCGCGCUUAGGCUAGGAUGCUGGCGUAAUGGCUGCCAGCGACCCGUCUUGAAACACGGACCAAGGAGUCGACCAACCAUGCGAGUGUUUGGGCUUCAAACCCACGCGCGCAAUGAAAGUGAACGGAGGUGGGAACCCCCCGGGGCGCACCAUCGACCGAUCCUGAUGUCUUCGGAUGGAUUUGAGUACGAGCACGGCUGGUCGGACCCGAAAGAUGGUGAACUAUACGUGAAUAGGGUGAAGCCAGAGGAAACUCUGGUGGAGGCUCGCAGCGGUUCUGACGUGCAAAUCGAUCGUCAAAUUUGCGUAUAGGGGC